AGCAGCCGCGGUAAUUCCAGCUCCAAUAGCGUAUAUUAAAGUUGUUGCAGUUAAAAAGCUCGUAGUUGAACUUCAGGAUCAAGGAAUCGGUCAUGCCUUGGUAUGUACUGGUUUUAUUGGUUCUCACCUUCUAAAGAACCAUAAUGUCAUUCAUUUGAUGUUAUGGGGAAUUAGGACUGUUACCUUGAAAAAAUUAGAGUGUUUAAAGCAGGCUUACGCUUGAAUACAUUAGCAUGGAAUAAUGAAAUAGGACAUCCGAUUCUAUUUUGUUUGGUUUCUUAGGAUCGAUGUAAUGAUUAAUAGGGAUAGUUGGGGGCAUUAGUAUUCAAUUGUCAGAGGUGAAAUUCUUGGAUUUAUUGAAGACUAACUACUGCGAAAGCAUUUGCCAAGGAUGUUUUCAUUAAUCAAGAACGAAAGUUAGGGGAUCGAAGACGAUC
Molecule: ribosomal RNA, 437 nt
Filed under: uncultured Glomeromycotina
Lineage: Eukaryota; Fungi; Glomeromycota
Description: SSU rRNA
Rfam family: Eukaryotic small subunit ribosomal RNA
Source: RNAcentral